GAUAAACGCUGGCGGCGCACAUAAGACAUGCAAGUCGAACGGACUUAACCAUUAGUUUACUAUUGGAGCGGUUAGUGGCGGACUGGUGAGUAACACGUAAGCAACCUGCCUAUCAGAGGGGAACAACAGUUAGAAAUGACUGCUAAUACCGCAUAUGCCUUAAUUACCACAUGGUAAUAGAGGGAAAGGAGCAAUCCGCUGAUAGAUGGGCUUGCGUCUGAUUAGAUAGUUGGUAAGGUAACGGCUUACCAAGUCGACGAUCAGUAGCCGGACUGAGAGGUUGAACGGCCACAUUGGGACUGAGAUACGGCCCAG
RNAcentral lists this ribosomal RNA (315 nucleotides) under uncultured bacterium. RNAcentral's name for it is "bacterial SSU rRNA". It matches the Rfam family "Bacterial small subunit ribosomal RNA", at positions 28 to 334 of the family's 1533-position model. The record is from RNAcentral.